This 492-nucleotide ribosomal RNA is filed under the name Trigonopterus boolbunensis. RNAcentral describes it as "partial large subunit ribosomal RNA". It matches the Rfam family "Archaeal large subunit ribosomal RNA", at positions 1908 to 2694 of the family's 2987-position model. Lineage: Eukaryota; Metazoa; Arthropoda; Insecta; Coleoptera; Curculionidae. The record is from RNAcentral.
GGCUUAUUGUUUAUGAUUUUAAGUCUAGCCUGCCCAAUGAUGGAGUUGAAUGGCCGCGGUAUAUUGACUGUGCAAAGGUAGCAUAAUCACUAGUUUCUUAAUUGGAAGCUUGAAUGAAGGGUUUGAUGAAAAAAUUUCUGUCUCUAUUAGAGGUUAAAAAGCUUAGAUUUGUAUUGAAGACGAGAAGACCCUGUAGAGUUUUAUAUUUAUUGAAGUAAAAAAUUUUUAGAAUUUAAAAAAUUUUUGUAUUUUUUUAAUUGUUUGGUUGGGGUGAUUUAUUGUUACACUGAUUUGUGGAUAUUUGAUCCUUGUUAAAGAUUAAAAAAUUAAAUUACCUCAGGGAUAACAGCGUUAUUUUUCUUAGAGUUCUUAUCAAAAGAAAAGAUUGCGACCUCGAUGUUGGAUUAAAAUUAGUUGCUGGUGCAGGAGUUGGUGAGCUAGGUCUGUUCGACCUUUAAAUUUUUACAUGAUCUGAGUUUAGACCGGUGUGAG